GCUGAGCUAAGUUGCGUGAGCUUGUAACCCGAGUGGGGGCAUUAAGGUUAUGUGGACGAUGUUGUAGUGCUGCGGGCCUGGUUUGGGUGUGCUACUGCUGGCCUGCCCGUUCCAAGUUGCGUAGUGGACCACCUGGGCCUCACGGCUUACUCCAGCGAACUAUCACUUUU
This 170-nucleotide non-coding RNA is filed under the name Triticum aestivum (bread wheat). Lineage: Eukaryota; Viridiplantae; Streptophyta; Magnoliopsida; Poales; Poaceae. The record is from RNAcentral.